CCCCCACUAUGGCCUCAGAUCAGACAUGGCAACCCACUGAAUGCAAGCAUCUCACUAAGCGCAGGUAAAGAAUCUAACCAGGAUUCCCACUGUAACAGUAUGUGAAAAUGUACGACCAGGGCGCUGAUUCCACAUGCAGCAAUAGAUGCAGGAAAUGUGGCAUACAGAAUACCAACUACCGAACAUCACUCAGGGGGCCCAUGUUCUUCUGUUUGGGGCCCACCACAUGGAUGGUGUUAAGUUGAUAGUGUCCCCUGGCACACCUUCCUCAGGUCUACUCUGAGUCGGGUGCUUGGUAAUGCAGCCAAAAGUGGGUGGUAAACUCCAUCUAAGGCUAAGUAUGGGUUUGAGACCAAUAACCAACAAGUACCUUAAGGGAACAUUGGAAAGAACUUUGAAGAGACAGUUCCAUCCAUAGGUAAACAGGUUGGAUCUAUGCAGUUUGGCCAGAGGAUUCAACGCGGUGGGCACGUUGGUCACCAAGAACAGCGGGACCACUAUACAAGCACUAUCCAGACACAUCCGGCCCUGCAGGGUGCAUUUCCUCUGUGGAUGUGUACCAUGACUGGCUCCUAGUCAGCUUGGAAUUCCCUGGGGUGCAGGUGGCUUUCCGAUCCAGCAGAGAGUGUAACAGCCCACUAACUGCAGUUUCACCAUGUCCACAGGGCCAAUGGAGAUUGACCACUGGUGUGCUCUCCUCCGGUAACUGUCCCAGCCCCUCUCAGAGGUCACCAUGUCAGAGACGGUGACGGGCCCCCUGCUCCCGGUGGGACUGUCGAUCGGGUGGGUUGUGCUCAGUGUACCCAGACCACCACGGAACACCAUUGUAUGGGGAGGCCCACAAAGGGGUACAGGUGUCUGCCGUUAUAUUGGUUACUGACCCAUUCGGUCUUGAAACAAGGGGUCUAUAAGGUGCGCAAGUCAGAGAUGCAAAUACAAUCCUGUUGCACAAUGAAGGUGAGGGCCAUGCACGCUGGCUGAUAUGGGAUCCUGUUGCAUCAUGCACACCACUGCACCUUUCGCCUGCUCUGUCAGGGAGGUGAAGCAUGUGCAUUUGUUAUAGGACCUGAAUGAGUGUAUAAUAUGCCUAAGCAGGGCAAAUCCAGAGUGUACUCUGGUGGUGGUCUGUAGCAGCGGUCAUCCAACCUGGGUCUAGGGGUGAAAGACUAAUCAAACCAUCUAGUAGCUCGUUCCCUCAGGAUAGAAGGCAUUCAGAUACCCCAGUCUUAUCUGGUGAAUCAAAUGAUUAGAGGUUUUGGGGCCAAAAGGAUCUCAAACUAUUCUCAAACUUUGUAUGGAUGAGGAUCACUGGCAUGAAGCUGGGAAACCAAUGUCAGUGCCCAGUGUGCGACUUUUGGUAUGCAGUACUGGCAGUGCAGGAUGAACCGAAUGCUAGGUUAAGGCACACAAUGCUGAUGCGCAUCAAGCCCCUGAUAGUGUUGGCUGAUAUAGACAGCAGAACGGUGUCCAUGGAAGUCAGAAUCUGCCAAGGGGUGUGCAACAUCUCACCUGCAGAAUCUACUAACCAUUACAAUCGAUGGAGCUGGAGCGUAGUGCCCAUACGCAGAUGCUGCCAGUGAUGAGAGCCACAGGGGCUAAGCUGCAAUGAGUAGGAGGGCUGCUGAGGUGUGCACAGUACCCUAGGACGAGUGCCUGGGUGGAGCCACUGCAGGUGCAGAUCUUGGUGAUAGUAGCAAAUAUUCAAAUAUAAACUUUGAAGACCAUAGUGUAGGAGGGCACCAUGUGAACAGCUGUUGAACAUGGGUCAGUCAUUUCUGUGAGAUGGACGAACACCGUUCGGAAGGGACAGGCAAUUGUCUUUGUUGCCCUCAGCCGAUCGAAAGUGAGGUUGAGUUCAGAUAACCGAACCAUGAGUGGCAUAGACGGGCAUCCUUGCAGCAUCCAUUGCGAUGAGGCAAAAGUUACCGGAGAACCUGCUGUGUGCCAUCGGGAGAGUUCUAUUUUCUUUCUGAAGGACAGGUCACCCUGGAAUGGGUUUACCCUGAAACCCUGAGAGAGGCGCCCGAGUAUUGGAAAGCAUUGCAUAUGUGUGUCAUACUGUGAGCUCUCGCUAGUCCUUAUUAAUCCAGGGAAGAAAGUGUGAAUCUCGCACAGGCCUGUACCGAUAUCCAAAGCCGGGCUCCAAGGUGAACGACCUCUGGCAUGUUGGAAAAAUAUAGAUAAGUGUAGUCACCAAGUCAGAUCUGUAACUUCGGGAUCAGAAUUGGCUGAAAGGGCUGGUUGGGUUAGGCUGUUGCACAUAGCGGGAUUGGCCAUACCCCACAACUGGAUGAGGCAUUUCCACCCCCGGUGGCCCUGCCAACUCUGGACAUGAACCAGAUCCUUUCUAUAGUUCACCCCAGCUGGAGUGGUGUCCUCUGUCCGUUCUGCUCCGGGGGUUCAGGGCCGGCAUUCUGACUUACCACUGGUGCGGACCAGGGCCAUCCAACAGUUUAAUUGAAACAAGGCAUCACAAAGGUCCACAGCAGGUGUUGACUCAAUGUGAUUUCUGCACAGUGCUCUGAGUGUCAAAGUGCUGAAAUUCAGUGAAGCAAAGGGUAAAUGGUGGGAGUGACUAUGACUCUCUUAAGGUGGCCAAAUGCCACAUCAUCUCAUUGGUGGCAUGCAUCAAUGGAUGAAUGGGAUUCCCACAGUCCAUACCUACUGUCUACUGAACCCCAGCCAAGGGAAUGGGCUUGGCAGAAUCAGCAGGAAUAAGAGACCCUGUUGAGCUUGCCUCUAGUCUGGUACUUUGAGGAGACAUGAGAGGUAUGUUAUAGGUGGGGGGCCUUGGGCCAGUGGUUAAAUACCACUCCUGUUAUCAUGUUUUCACUUAUCCUGUGAGGUGGUGUAGCAAGACCUGUGAAGCUGUCACUUCAGGCUGCAAUUACCCAGCUUCAGCCAAGGGAGACCUGCUCCAGAGACAUUGGCAGGUGUGGAAGUUGACUGGGGCAGUACACCUGUCUUACGAUAACGCAUGUGUCCUAAGACAAGUUAAGGGAGUACAAAAACAUCCUGUGGCGACGAAGGGCAAAAGCUUGCUGGAUCUCAAUUUAUGUAUGAAGUGUAAGUUAAGACAUGGUAUCAGGCAGUGAAGACAUACACAAGUGAUCACAGUUCAAGAGUGUUUAUUGAAUUUCGGUGGGUUGGUUGAAUGCCUAUCUAACCCUAACUGUAAGGAUGGGAGAAAGCUACGACCAUCAAAUAAUAAUAACACAGUCCUGGUGGAGUCUCUCUCAAUAUAAAAGGUCCUAUACUAAUAAACCUAUUGUGAAUCCUUACUUCUAAAUACAAAUGGUUUGGGACAACAAUGUAUGCAAAGAGAAAAGUGUUCAAGAGAUUAUAUGUAAGGAUAGUUGAGCAGUUUACUUUCCCCACAUUUUCAGCACAGGGCAAGGUGGCAUGCUCAAGCUUCGCACACACUCUGGCUUCUCUGCCACAAGAUUACAGUUCAAAGUAGGGUAUCAAGGCCUUCUGCCAAAGUCUAUUUCCCAACAACAGUCUCUUAU
Molecule: ribosomal RNA, 3509 nt
Filed under: Ambystoma mexicanum (axolotl)
Lineage: Eukaryota; Metazoa; Chordata; Amphibia; Caudata; Ambystomatidae
Description: eukaryotic LSU rRNA
Rfam family: Eukaryotic large subunit ribosomal RNA
Source: RNAcentral